CCUACGGGUGGCAGCAGUGGGGAAUAUUGCACAAUGGGCGCAAGCCUGAUGCAGCCAUGCCGCGUGUGUGAAGAAGGCCUUCGGGUUGUAAAGCACUUUCAGCGGGGAGGAAGGCGUUAAGGUUAAUAACCUUGUCGAUUGACGUUACCCGCAGAAGAAGCACCGGCUAACUCCGUGGCCAGCAGCCGCGGUAAUACGGAGGGUGCAAGCGUUAAUCGGAAUUACUGGGCGUAAAGCGCACGCAGGCGGUCUGUCAAGUCGGAUGUGAAAUCCCCGGGCUCAACCUGGGAACUGCAUUCGAAACUGGCAGGCUAGAGUCUUGUAGAGGGGGGUAGAAUUCCAGGUGUAGCGGUGAAAUGCGUAGAGAUCUGGAGGAAUACCGGUGGCGAAGGCGGCCCCCUGGACAAAGACUGACGCUCAGGUGCGAAAGCGUGGGGAGCAAACAGGAUUAGAUACCCUUGUAGUC
RNAcentral lists this ribosomal RNA (466 nucleotides) under uncultured Klebsiella sp. Its description in RNAcentral is "bacterial SSU rRNA". It matches the Rfam family "Bacterial small subunit ribosomal RNA", at positions 338 to 795 of the family's 1533-position model. Lineage: Bacteria; Pseudomonadati; Pseudomonadota; Gammaproteobacteria; Enterobacterales; Enterobacteriaceae. The record is from RNAcentral.